ACAUUAUUCCAACCAUUAGAGUUACUUGCUUGACAUGUGAGUAGACCUCCAUGCAAGUACUCUCGGUCGAUUAUGUUCAGUGAACUCAUUCCCUUAAUGAGCACCUACAUACCUAUCUUAGUGUCACUACACGAAUGGCAUGAGACUUUCCAUCCUUCCCAUUAGAAGGGGACAUAGUAUGUACUGGUCUAUGUAUUGUCAGUGUCCCUCCGACAAUCCUAUGACCAGGAACCGUUUUGGACAUCAUGGUUAUGUGAAGAAGGUCUCUGCAGUCUAACAUCAUCAAAUUACUUCUUCCAUCAAUCCAUUGUCCAUGGAUUCACUAUUUAGGACAUAUAUCGUUUAUUGAGAUAGUCCUAAUUAGUAUCUUUGCCUUUUGAUGUAUAAGAAUCAUCUAUACAUACAUUUAUUGUCCUGAAAGGUUUCUUCCAAAGAUUGAUUUUCAGGGCAUAUCUCCAACAAUCUCCCACUUGCACUAAAGUCAAUCACUAUUGUAUCUUAUAGAUGCUAGUCGAGUGAACUUACACUCAUAGGUAAACUUGGUUAUGUAUUAAUCCUUUUAAUUUAAAAGGGAUUUACUUAUUAAAUAUUUCUAAAACAUUUGAUGAUGUCUCUUUCUUGUGUUCAAAUACUUUGAUGAGACCUUGAUUCCAUGGCUUGAGCUAUCGCCCCAUUACAUCGUAGUGUCCUACUAACGACCUUAUGGUUUGGAUUCAAUCAUUGGUUCUAUAAGAACCUCUUCUAUUCAAAACACCUUUUGAAGCAGUUUCUAAAACUAUAUAUCAACAUAUAUUUCGUUUGUGUACUUAUACAUACUUUGCUCCAACAUUGAGAUCAUUGUAGUACAAUACUAACAAUACAUUCAUAUGAUUAGUACUUCAUCCAUUAUGAAGUUCCAUUCGUUAAAAUGGGUUAUUUUCACUGUGGUUUAUAACCUAAGUGAACGCACGCUUCCAGAGUCCGACUCUAAUGUUCCUUUCUUAAAGGCAAUAAUACUCUAUCAGUUGCUACGGUUCUGAUCCUGGGCUAUAGUAAUAUCUUAAAGUGACAACCCCAAUGGUUUUCACCUUUGGAUAUUGUCUCACAAGUCCAUACAUGUGUCCCUUUUGUGAUUUUGUGACAUAUUCAUUAUAACGGUCACAAAAGUGAUUUUCUAUCAUAUAAGAAAAUACUUUCUCAAAUCUUCAAUAUUUGAGAUUUAAUUUCCCCAUAUAACAUCCUUGAGAUAGCCUUACUACAUCAUUAAGUCCAAUUUCAAGUCUAUACUUCAAAAUUGACUGUGUCACGUUUUGUCAUUUUGAGUAACAUCUAUGUUUUAUCAAGUCUAUCAAAUAGACUUUAUUCAUAUCUUGUUGCUCAAAUUAUGACAUCACUCCCACUGGGCUUGUUGUAACUUAGCAUUCAUUCAAAAACUUAACACUUAUAUUUUCUUGAUUUGAAUGCAUAUUGCUCCCACUAACUUGUCUUGGAUCUAUUGACAAUCAUUGAGAUCCAUUAGCUUAUUGAUGAUGUCUCAACAAUUUUGGGACUAUCAACAACUCUAGCUAACACAAGUUAUUUAAACGAACAUACACAAAAGAAUUCCUUCUCAAGUAAUUCCAUUUGAAAUGUGUGACUUGCUUUAUCAAGUCCAUUCAUUUAAAUUAUAUGGUGUCAUACACCAUACUUCAAGUUUUAGUCAUACUAAGACUUUAAUGUAGUCAUAUAAGAAUUAUCCAAGUCAUUAGUGGAGGCAUGGCUCCUACUAAGGAUAUAGAAACUCAACCAUACCUUCCAGAUGGUUGGUAUAAUUCUUUAUCAAAACUACAUAGAGCGUUAUAGUUACAUGAGGUGCCGAAUUUGGAUUGUCUUGUUGUUAAACCAUAUGUUGUGACUCAUUUUGAAACUAUUCCCUUUUGUUUCAUCAAUUUGUCCAUAUGCUUUGUUAUUAGCUUGUUCUCAUAAAAGAGAAUGAUGGACAACUCCCAACAUAUAACCAUUUUAUGCUAGGUUGACGAAACAACAUUCAUAGACUAUUCUUUAGAAUGUUACACAACAUAGAAUUUCAAAGCUUCAAAGAGCUUGAGACCUUUUAACAAUUAAAAUUACAAGCUCAUUAAUAGUAGUAAAGUACUAUUAAUUUUUAGACAACUAUAAACCAAUCAUAUUCAAGUUUAUAUCCUUUUCUCACCUCCCACUGUUUCUCAUGACCUUAAUGAGAAAUUGCAUUAUAUAUUCAUAGUGUAUAAUUAUGAAGUAUACGGGUAGAGGACAUUGUGGAGUAGCUUAGAACCUUUUAAGCUUAUUAUUCCAACUCCACUAAGUUCAUGUCUUGUUAUUAAGUGACUAAAGUCUUUAAACCUUUUAUAGAUUUAGACACUUCAUCAUUGGUUUGAUCACUAACAUAUUUGACAUUUCUUAAAACAAUUCAAGAAUGUCCAAUUAGUUGUUCAAAACUACUAAUUGAACCAAGAGUGAUCUUGGUUAUUGUGGUUAAGUAAGUGAUAACCAUAUAAGAAACGUUUUUCUUAUGUAUUACUUAUGUCAUUAUAAUGUGAUCUUCCUUUUCUUCAAGAAAGGAAUCUCUAGAGUUUCUCAAUUCAUAUAGAACUUAUAUGUAGGCUAUUGGAACCAAAUCUAAAGAUUCAUUGUAUCCAUCUAUGGCCAACAUGUAAGAUCUAUCCUUAAUUGAUAAAUCCAAAGCUUGGAUAUCGCAUUAUAUAAGUGAUUCAUUUCUUGUAUUUCAACUUGAAUACAACAAGACAAUUUUUUCAAUUCAUAAUACUACUUUGAGGAACUAAUAUAGUAGAAGGCAUUCAUCACAUUACAUUGAUAUGAUAAUUCAAACAUUCAUAAUGUUUAAUACAAAAGGAAUUAGCUCUAUACAUUUAGAGACUAAUUAUAUACCUUCAUAUAGGCACCAAAAGUGGGUCUUCCAUCAUAUGAAGCCACAUAAUAAGUUCUUAGCAAAAUAAGAAAGUUUAAAGACUAUCUUUAAGUGCCUAACAAACUUCCUAAGUAGUUAACAAAAAAUUUGUGGCCGAACCCUUCUCCAUCCUUUUCCUUGCUUGUUCAUCUUCUACUUGGCUCCAUCACCUACAUACAAUUGCAUAAGUGAUUAGCAUUUUAUAUCAAAUAUAAAGAUUAGAAGAUCUAACAAUUAGAAUUGAAGAUAAGAACAUAAACCAUACCUUGUGGCUUGUCCUUAAGAGUUGCAAGGUAUAACUUGCAAUUCCUCUUCCAAUGCCCGUCCUUUCCACAGUGGUGGCAAGUCCCCUUGGGCUCCUUUGCCUUCUUUUUCUUCACUCCUCCUUGGGCCUUAGGAGUGGAUGACUUCUCCUUUCCUUUGCCUUUACCUUUCGGCUUGGCUUUGGAAGAGGAUGGCUUGUUGUAGGCUACUGCAGCAGUCCCUACAACGUUCUCUUUCUUCAUAGUCUUCUCAGCAGUUACUAACAUGUUUAGUAACUCAGAGAGAGUGUUAUCCAUCUUGUUCAUGUUGUAGUUCAUAAUGAACUGCGAGAACGAAUCAGAAAGAGAAGCCAAGAUGAAGUCCUGGGCCAAUUCCCCGUCAAGUGGAGUCCCUAGGUUCUCCAAUUGUUCAAUGAGUCCAAUCAUCUUCAGUACAUGUUGAUGCACUGAAGCUCCCUUGACCAUCUUGGUCUUCACAAGUUCACUGACAGUGCUAAAACAACGGUUGUGCGUCCCUUCACCAUAUAACUCCGUAAGAUUGAGUAUGAUGGAAUAUGCACUGUCCAUGCCCUCGUGCUGUCUCUGCAACUCCUCAUUCAUGGAAACCAACAAUUAGCACUUGGCUUAUGUAUCAUCCUCAACGUGCUUGUCAUACUUAGCACGUUCAUCCUCAGUGGCCUCAGGGCCAAGAGGUAUGUGAGGUAGAGCCUUGUCUAGUACGUAAACAAUCUUCUCCAAGGUUAGGAGAAUCUUGACAUUACGAUACCACGAUGGGAAAUUGUGCCCCUCUAGGCAAUGUUUGUCGACUAUUUUCGCGAGUGUACUUCCAACCAUAUCUAAAUACAUAAACAAUAAAAUAAAUUAGUUUGAUUGUUGAUUAAGUCAAACGAUUCGGGUCUUUAAACCGAAUGACACCACCCACGAUGAUACGAUGUCAGCUAGCAAAAAUAAUAAUGAGAGGGUACAAUUACCUAUUCACAACAACCUCUUGUGAUUACCCAUCUAGUUGGCCUCUAGAGAACAAUGCCUCACAAUGAUAUGAUGUUGGCACCAUUUCUCUUAGUUAAGUUUUGACCCACCAUGCCGGUUUAGAUGGGGCUUCAAGUAUGACCUCACGAUGAUACGAUGUUGGCCACACUCGUUGCCUACUUUCACCACAUCAAAUGUUGAAAUAGACUCCUCCUGAGUAGAAGCACGCACUUUGCACUCCCCCAUGAUAGGGUGAAGGCGGUGUACGAGUCAUAAACGAUUGGAGCCUACCAUGGUGGAAGGCCACGAAGAAGUGUUCAAAGCACCUCUCCGCUUUCAACUUAAUAUUGGAUGUUGGUUGAGGGAUUUUAGGGUCUCAUCAUUUUAUUUAUUUAAUCAUAUUAAAAUAAAUUGUGUCCUAUUAUAACUACUAGUCCAAAGUUAAUGAAAUUAGUAGCAUAUGAUAUCUCCACUAUUCGUUUUCAUAAAACAAAUUAAUAUCAAAACAUUUUUCAAAAUAUUGGAGAUAUAUAUAACUAUUAAUUGUGGUCAUUAUAGUUUAGUAGCGUAUGAUACUCCCACUAUUUGUUUUGAGAAAAAACAAAUCAAUAUCAAAAACGAAUUUUUCAAAUAUUGGAAGUAACUACUACUACUAUGGUUUUUGCAUUCCUUUGAAAUUGGACUUUAUAGUUAUCUUAGGCUCUUUGGAUGACCAUGGACUUAUUGGGUUAAUUCAAUCAACGAGCCAACAUUGUUGAAUAAGAUCUAGGGAAGGUUGUGUCGUUUUAAUUAUGUGCUUUCAAUCAAAUGAAAACAAUUUUCAUUGAGCCAUUAGAAAUGAAAGACAAUCAUUCAUUGCUAAUUAGGGCGUUGGACCCAAUUAAUCUUUAAUCUCAUGUCAAAAACCCUCUUUUAAUCAUGUCUCCUUACCAAUAGUUAAAGAAACUCUAGUCUAGUACUAGAGGGAAUCAACUAAUUGAAAGAGAUUAAGAAGUAAUAAGAAUUACAAACCGAUUUGUACAAAUUCCUACAAAUUACAUAUACUAAGAGGGAGAGAAAGAUUAAUGUCUAUCAUGACAAGGUCCAAUUGAAAUAGUAAUUAAAACACAUUCCCAAGGUUCAAACAAUUUGACUUUAGCGCCCUUUCUCAUAGCUCAAUUAUCGUUUAAGGCAUAAGUCCAUAGUCAACCAUUUUCUAACUACUUGAUCACAUUAAAUAAUUAAAUGGAAUGCACCAUAAUCAAUUAGACUUAGUACAUAUGGGCAUAAUUGUAUGAUGAGUUUGAACAACUAACAAAAUUAAAAUCAAAAUAUUUUAACUUUUUAGAGAGAUGGGGCCUAAUAUGCAAAUAUGAAAAGUUAGGGGUCAAACCACAAAUACUAGAAAGUAUAAUCAACUUUUAAAAUUGCAAAAUAGCCCAUAGAGGGCCCAUCAUAUAGGGUGGCCGGUUAUAUGAUGGGGGGAGAGGGAGGUGUCAUACAUGUCCCCUAAAUUUCAAAAUAAAGCAAAGGCCUAGCUAUGUCAAGUCACCACUUGUGCAAGUUGGCUUAAAUAGGUAAGAGGUGUGUAAGGAGUCCUAGUCAAGUCUAGGAUGGAGUCAAUCAAACGGAAAGCUAUUGAUGGCAAAUAUAUCACCCAAAUUCAAAAACAAAGGAUGAAUACAAUAACAUAACCUUUUAUGCCAAAACCAAAACCAUGAACACCAAGAACAAAACCAUGAAAACAAUUUCAAGAUUUGCACUUUCUUGGUGACUUUUUCAAACCGAAAAACAAAAGUGACAAGGCCUUUACUUUCUAGCUUUAAAGUGUGUGUGUGUGACUAAAAUAAAACACAAACACAAGCCAAAAAAUCCCCCAAAACCGUGCCCUCCCCUAUGGUUCAUUAACCCCAAAUUUUGUUCAAAAACUCACUCUUCAUUCAUGCAUCCAAAACACUUUUUGCAUACAUAUCUUUUUCAACUCUUGAAACACAUUUUUCAACAUUUGAAAAACUAAAGAUAAACAUAUUUUGAAUGAAGAAAUAAUAUGUCAAACAUAAAAUUAAAACUCAUAUGCAUAAAAUCCAAAAGGACACAUCAAAUAUAAACCUUUGGCUCUUGAUACCACUUGAAGGGAAAUAAUGAGAUUUAUGUGGGAUUUCUAGUGACUAGCAUGCAUAUACAAUUCAAAAUUUAUAUACAUAAGCAACGGAAGCAUGUUAUCACAUAAUAUCAAAGCUAUAGUCAUGCAAAUCCCCUUCAAGAAGCAUAGGUCCAUAUUUGUUGCAUCUAAGAAAUUAUUGAAGAACAAAGUGAAGGUAUAGUUUUAUACCUCUUGAUCUAGACUUGAGACCAAUGAUGGACCACCUCCAAGCUCUUUGUUCUUGGAACUCCUUGAGCCUAGCUUCCAUCCUUGCUUCCUCCACCUUGCUAGAGUAAGUGCUCCUUAGUUCUCCUUUAGUCUCCAAGGUUGAAGACCUCUAAAGAUCCACACCCACUAGUGUAGUGAGAUGGAUAAGGGAAUAACCAAAAGGAAAGAAGAUGAUUAGCUACUCUUUCCUUUGGUGGCCGGCCUUGUGUGUGUUUUAGAGAGAGAUAUGUUUUUAUUCUUUUGUGAAAAAUGAGCACACAAAACCCUAAUGAAACUUUUCACUAAAAGUCCUUUAUAAAUGUCUAAGAAAUGAAUCAACAACUUGACUCUCUCUCUCUCUCUCUCUUCAAUGGCCGGCCCCUUUUGUGUUGUUUGGGCUUUGGGCUUUUAUCAUUUCAAGUCAUCCUAUGCUUAAAUAAAAGCCCAAUGGGUUUGGGCUUAAUGGGCCCAUAUUAACCCGAACUUUUCUUUAAGUCCAAAAACGAUCUUUCAUCGCUUCUAUGAUUUCUUUAGACUUUCUAAUUAAUCAUAACACUUAAUUAAUCCAAUUAAUUUAUUCCAUCAUCCUUUAGUUGUCUCACUACAAGAGUGUAUCGGUGUAAAAUCAUUUUAGGUUCUAAUUAGCAAGGCAGUGAGGUGAUUGGCACCAAUCCAAUUGAUUAUAUUUAAUCCAAUCACUUAGUGAAUGAAAACUUACUUUUAAUUCUCCUUCUUCUUUGACGACUACUUAUUUAAUCAUCUAGAAGAAUUCACAAGCCAUGAGUGACAUCUAACCAUAUAUCAUGGCUACCCAAGCUAAUCUAGAAUUUGUUCGGAUAACCUAUUCAGUUGGAAUUACAAUGUAAUUCGAUCAUUCUCUAAAACAAUACUCACAAUCAUAUUACUAGGGUAUGGAUAUUUAAUGUCAAACCCCUAAUAUGAUUAUUCCAUGUUAUAUGAUUCAAUUGAGUAGUAUAGAAACGCUUUCCUUCAUUACGCUCAAUACUUCGGCCGAAGAUUCCCGAAUCAUAUCUUAGAGUAUUCAUCCUCUCAUAACGAGGAUUAGAGAUCCCUUGUUGAUCAUUCACAUGCCUCUGAGAAUAAAUCACUGACCCCAACAAUGCAUAGAACACACCCAAGAUGAGGUGUGGUCACGUCUCAUUAUCAAAAUGAUCAGCAACGUAUCCCCAAGACAACUAUGAUGUCUCAGGUCAAAGGAUUACUUACGUUAUUCCAACCAUUAGAGUUACUUGCUUGACAUAUGAGUAGACCUCCAUGCAAGUACUCUCGUUCGAUUAUGUUCAGUGAACUCAUUCCCUUAAUGAGCACCUACAUACCUGUCUUAGUGUCACUACACGAAUGGCAUGAGACUUUCCAUCCUUCCCAUUAGAAGGGGACAUAGUAUGUACUGGUCUAUGUAUUGUCAGUGUCCCUCCGACAAUCCUAUGACCAGGAACCUUUUUGGACAUCAUGGUUAUGUGAAGAAGGUCUCUGCAGUCUAACAUCAUUAGAUUACUUUUUCCAUCGAUCCAUUGUCCAUGGAUUCACUAUUUAGGACAUAUAUCGUUUAUUGAGAUAGUCCUAAUUAGUAUAUUUGCCUUUUGAUGUAUAAGAAUCAUCUAUACACACAUUCAUUGUCCUGAAAGGUUUCUUCCAAAGAUUGACUUUCAAGGCAUAUCUCCAACAG
RNAcentral lists this long non-coding RNA (8153 nucleotides) under Malus domestica (apple). Its description in RNAcentral is "long non-coding RNA (MDOM_LNC016458)". The record is from RNAcentral. Lineage: Eukaryota; Viridiplantae; Streptophyta; Magnoliopsida; Rosales; Rosaceae.